AUAAAGUUGGCAGAAUAAUGUGAAUAAUUUAGGUUUAUUUUAAAAGAUAUUUAUAUCUUACUUUAUA
Molecule: transfer RNA, 67 nt
Filed under: Heteroteuthis dispar
Lineage: Eukaryota; Metazoa; Mollusca; Cephalopoda; Sepiida; Sepiolidae
Description: tRNA-Leu
Source: RNAcentral